This is a long non-coding RNA of Heterocephalus glaber (naked mole-rat), 1343 nucleotides long. The record is from Ensembl. Lineage: Eukaryota; Metazoa; Chordata; Mammalia; Rodentia; Bathyergidae.
CUCGCCCUCUGUCCCGCUUUGCGCCAAGAAGGAACAAGUCGGUGCCGAGUGCCACAAGCGAAUGCAGGGUGUAGACCAGCCUCUCCGGAGCCGGGUUAGAAUCGCAGCUCCCUGACUGCGCUGGUGUGGGCUGGGAAGAGUGGGGAGUUUCUCGGCACCUCAGAGCCUGCCCUCUGGAGCAGACAAGAGCUGCGCUUUGCUCUGGCUCCUCAGCGUGGAGCCGCCUGCCUCUGCUGAGCGUGCGCAUCCCAGGAGGACGGGGAGAGCGGAACUGUAAUCCCACUAAUCCCCCAGCGCUGUGGGCAAAAUCACGCAGGCAUGGGGUUAUUUCUUGUUUUCCCCUCUGCACCCCUCGAGCACGUGUGGCAAGCAAGAAGCACCUAGUGCCGAGGUUGGAGAGAGAUCAGGAUUCCCAGCAGCUCCUGCCCAGCACAGACGCAGCCGCCCUUCCGCUUGUGCCUGGACACAGUUGUGGGGGAUGCAGGCGACCACGAGGAUCCCGGGGAGCCCGGUGCAAAAGAGGCGACGCCUUGGAGAGGAGCUGCUGACAUCUCACUGCCAGGCCUGAGGAGAUGCAGAUAAAAGAAAUAUUCAAGAAAAUACUUCGGUUAUUCAGGAGCUCCAACCUUCUCAGUUUUCUUCAUCAUAGCUAACGGGGAUUCACGCCGAGCUCCACGUGUGUCUGGUUUUCAAGAAGACGAGGCGGCUGAGUGGCUCGGGCGUGCCCUGUCUCCAGCCCUGUCUGCUAUGCUGCUGGCCCCUGACUUCUCGGUCACCUCCGCUCACCCUCGGAUCUGACCAGCAGCUUCGGUACCUGGCGCCUCUCUGGCGAAGUGUGGUGGUCACAGGGCUGUCGGGGCACCAGGCAGGGCAUGAUAUGCACAUACUUCCUCACAUUUUAGGACCGUGAGUGCUACUCUCCCAUAAAUACCUGAACUCGUACAUUGGCUGCUGAUUUAUAAAGGUCCAAAGCAGCCAGAAAGCAGUGCAUGUGGGCACAAAUAUGUUAAAAAUGAGCCUACUUGGGCCGGGGAUUUAGCUCAGUGGUUUCGCCGCCUGCUGCGCAAGCGCAAGGACCAGAGUUCGAUCCCCGGGACCAAAAAAAAACAGCAAAAGAAAUGGGCCCAGUAAAUAGAAGAGCUCAAUAUAUGAUGUCUGAUAAUAAAAAUAAUAAUAUAAUAAAAGUGAAUAAAAUGUCUAAAGGAGAAAGAAAACUUGAUCUUGGCCCUUAUAACCUUUCUGUUGUUCUUGUAGAUCAAUAAUAAUCAUUAUAGUUUCUCUUUAGCACAGCCCGAUGGUAUUUUAGAAAAAGAUAUGUUUAAAUAAAAGGCCAUGUAUGUCUG